CCCCCUAACCUUGCCCUUCUGCCCUUUGUGGAUUCUCCUAUAUUGCUGUUCCCCAAUCCCACCCGCAAGGGGCGCGCGAGAUGAAACAGUUCUGUCCUGGGAUAUACCACUGAGGGGUAGCGGUAAGACCACCCACUCUGAAAGGUACCAUUGGGAGAGGGCCUGUGACAACAGAGACAGGGUCUCCUUACACCGCGUUGGCACGGACCGCAGUUCCCUGCAGCGGCACUCAUGGCGCCACUGAGUCCAUCCCCGUUUGCUCCUCUUCAUCUUCCCACUGCUUUCGAAUCCGAGUGGACACAGGGAGAAAUAUGAGUGGGCAAGUGGCAUCAGCAUUUGGACCUACAAAGCAAGAUUGCUCCCAGGUGGAUGAACCUGUGGUUAUGAGUAACCUUACCAUUUGAUGUUUUCUGUUAGCACAAGUUUAUUUUUGAGAAAAUGAUGUUAAGUUGUACAGAUGCGGUGAUAAAGGUCUUCCAUGCUGAUAAAGGGUGACACUUUGUCUUAGGAAGGAACCUUGAUCCAGAUAUAUUAUAGUCCAGUGUUGCCUGGAUGAUUAUACUGUUAAAUUCCCUGGAAAUGUGCCCAGUGACUCCCUCCUCCUGCUUAUUAACAACAGGCUGCAUACUUCCAUCCCAACAUAGACUUAAAUAACUUCCAAAGUCUUCCUGGGUAACUCUUAUGGGAG
RNAcentral lists this long non-coding RNA (688 nucleotides) under Bos indicus x Bos taurus (hybrid cattle). RNAcentral describes it as "lncRNA (ENSBIXG00005022643.1)". Lineage: Eukaryota; Metazoa; Chordata; Mammalia; Artiodactyla; Bovidae. The record is from RNAcentral.